UGGGGAAUAUUGCACAAUGGGCGAAAGCCCGAUGCAGAGACGCCGCGUGAGGGAUGACGGCCUUCGGGUUGUAAACCUCUUUCAGUAGGGAAGAAGGGAAAGGGACGGUACCUGCAGAAGAAGCGCCGGCUAACUACGUGCCAGCAGCCGCGGUAAUACCUAGGGCGCAAGGGUUAUCCGGAAUUGAAUU
Molecule: ribosomal RNA, 190 nt
Filed under: uncultured bacterium
Lineage: Bacteria
Description: partial 16S ribosomal RNA
Rfam family: Bacterial small subunit ribosomal RNA
Source: RNAcentral